AUGCAAGUCGAGCGGAUGAAGGGAGCUUGCUCCUGGAUUCAGCGGCGGACGGGUGAGUAAUGCCUAGGAAUCUGCCUGGUAGUGGGGGAUAACGUUCCGAAAGGAACGCUAAUACCGCAUACGUCCUACGGGAGAAAGCAGGGGACCUUCGGGCCUUGCGCUAUCAGAUGAGCCUAGGUCGGAUUAGCUAGUUGGUGAGGUAAUGGCUCACCAAGGCGACGAUCCGUAACUGGUCUGAGAGGAUGAUCAGUCACACUGGAACUGAGACACGGUCCAGACUCCUACGGGAGGCAGCAGUGGGGAAUAUUGGACAAUGGGCGAAAGCCUGAUCCAGCCAUGCCGCGUGUGUGAAGAAGGUCUUCGGAUUGUAAAGCACUUUAAGUUGGGAGGAAGGGCUGUAGGCUAAUAUCCUGCGGUUUUGACGUUACCAACAGAAUAAGCACCGGCUAACUUCGUGCCAGCAGCCGCGGUAAUACGAAGGGUGCAAGCGUUAAUCGGAAUUACUGGGCGUAAAGCGCGCGUAGGUGGUUCGUUAAGUUGGAUGUGAAAGCCCCGGGCUCAACCUGGGAACUGCAUCCAAAACUGGCGAGCUAGAGUACGGUAGAGGGUAGUGGAAUUUCCUGUGUAGCGGUGAAAUGCGUAGAUAUAGGAAGGAACACCAGUGGCGAAGGCGACUACCUGGACUGAUACUGACACUGAGGUGCGA
RNAcentral lists this ribosomal RNA (706 nucleotides) under bacterium T462. RNAcentral's name for it is "bacterial SSU rRNA". It matches the Rfam family "Bacterial small subunit ribosomal RNA", at positions 55 to 756 of the family's 1533-position model. The record is from RNAcentral.